CGGAGGGUGCGAGCGUUAUCCGGAUUCACUGGGUUUAAAGGGUGCGUAGGUGGGCAAGUAAGUCAGUGGUGAAAUCUCCGGGCUUAACCCGGAACUGCCAUUGAUACUAUUUGUCUUGAAUACUGUGGAGGUCAGCGGAAUAUGUCAUGUAGCGGUGAAAUGCUUAGAUAUGACAUAGAACACCAAUUGCGAAGGCAGCUGGCUACACAAAUAUUGACACUGAGGCACGAAAGCGUGGGGAUCAAACAGGAUUAGAUACCCUGGUAGUCCACGCCCUAAACUAUGGAUACUCGACAUUUGCGAUAAACUGCAAGUGUCUGAGCGAAAGCAUUAAGUAUCCCACCUGGGAAGUACGAUCGCAAGAUUG
RNAcentral lists this ribosomal RNA (367 nucleotides) under uncultured organism. Its description in RNAcentral is "bacterial SSU rRNA". It matches the Rfam family "Bacterial small subunit ribosomal RNA", at positions 526 to 896 of the family's 1533-position model. The record is from RNAcentral.